This 741-nucleotide ribosomal RNA is filed under the name Escherichia coli. RNAcentral's name for it is "partial 23S ribosomal RNA". It matches the Rfam family "Bacterial large subunit ribosomal RNA", at positions 448 to 1191 of the family's 2925-position model. The record is from RNAcentral. Lineage: Bacteria; Pseudomonadati; Pseudomonadota; Gammaproteobacteria; Enterobacterales; Enterobacteriaceae.
GGGGACCAUCCUCCAAGGCUAAAUACUCCUGACUGACCGAUAGUGAACCAGUACCGUGAGGGAAAGGCGAAAAGAACCCCGGCGAGGGGAGUGAAAAAGAACCUGAAACCGUGUACGUACAAGCAGUGGGAGCCUCUUAAUGGGGUGACUGCGUACCUUUUGUAUAAUGGGUCAGCGACUUAUAUUCUGUAGCAAGGUUAACCGAAUAGGGGAGCCGAAGGGAAACCGAGUCUUAACUGGGCGUUAAGUUGCAGGGUAUAGACCCGAAACCCGGUGAUCUAGCCAUGGGCAGGUUGAAGGUUGGGUAACACUAACUGGAGGACCGAACCGACUAAUGUUGAAAAAUUAGCGGAUGACUUGUGGCUGGGGGUGAAAGGCCAAUCAAACCGGGAGAUAGCUGGUUCUCCCCGAAAGCUAUUUAGGUAGCGCCUCGUGAAUUCAUCUCCGGGGGUAGAGCACUGUUUCGGCAAGGGGGUCAUCCCGACUUACCAACCCGAUGCAAACUGCGAAUACCGGAGAAUGUUAUCACGGGAGACACACGGCGGGUGCUAACGUCCGUCGUGAAGAGGGAAACAACCCAGACCGCCAGCUAAGGUCCCAAAGUCAUGGUUAAGUGGGAAACGAUGUGGGAAGGCCCAGACAGCCAGGAUGUUGGCUUAGAAGCAGCCAUCAUUUAAAGAAAGCGUAAUAGCUCACUGGUCGAGUCGGCCUGCGCGGAAGAUGUAACGGGGCUAAACCAUG